Molecule: ribosomal RNA, 677 nt
Filed under: uncultured Lachnospiraceae bacterium
Lineage: Bacteria; Bacillati; Bacillota; Clostridia; Lachnospirales; Lachnospiraceae
Description: bacterial SSU rRNA
Rfam family: Bacterial small subunit ribosomal RNA
Source: RNAcentral
AUUUUCUUCGGAACUGAAGAUUUGGUGAUUGAGUGGCGGACGGGUGAGUAACGCGUGGGUAACCUGCCCUGUACAGGGGGAUAACAGUCAGAAAUGACUGCUAAUACCGCAUAAGACCACAGCACCGCAUGGUGCAGGGGUAAAAACUCCGGUGGUACAGGAUGGACCCGCGUCUGAUUAGCUGGUUGGUGAGGUAACGGCUCACCAAGGCGACGAUCAGUAGCCGGCUUGAGAGAGUGAACGGCCACAUUGGGACUGAGACACGGCCCAAACUCCUACGGGAGGCAGCAGUGGGGAAUAUUGCACAAUGGGGGGAACCCUGAUGCAGCGACGCCGCGUGAGUGAAGAAGUAUCUCGGUAUGUAAAGCUCUAUCAGCAGGGAAGAAAAUGACGGUACCUGACUAAGAAGCCCCGGCUAACUACGUGCCAGCAGCCGCGGUAAUACGUAGGGGGCAAGCGUUAUCCGGAAUUACUGGGUGUAAAGGGUGCGUAGGUGGUAUGGCAAGUCAGAAGUGAAAACCCAGGGCUUAACUCUGGGACUGCUUUUGAAACUGUCAGACUGGAGUGCAGGAGAGGUAAGCGGAAUUCCUAGUGUAGCGGUGAAAUGCGUAGAUAUUAGGAGGAACAUCAGCGGCGAAGGCGGCUUACUGGACUGAAACUGACACUGAGGCACGAAA